UGCUCCAGGUUAAUCAAGACACCUGGGGCCAAUUAAGAGCCUUCUAGAAGGCAGUGGCGAUAGCUAGAUUGAUUGGGACACCUGAAGCCAAUCAAAGGCUGGCUGGAACUAGUUAAAAGCCUCCCAAUUAGUCAGUGAGGUGUGAGUGUCAGGAGUUAUAGGAGAGAGCUGUCUGCUGGAGGAAUGAAGUAGUACAAAUCCAUAUCAGGUGCAAGAAAGGAGGCCCUGAGAUCCCCGGUCUUGGUCCAUAAUUAGUGCAUAUUCCUGGCUGCAAUAUCACCAGGUGCAGAAUAGUUAGAUCCAGUGUGUUUCUACACCAGCAGAUGUCAUGUACUUACCUGCUGAUGAGGGAAAGCAGACAGUAACUGACUUGACCAUUGGUUCCUUUUUUGCCACAGGAUAUGGUGCUCCCAAGUGCAGCCAGAUGUCUGUGACUGCUGUGUGUAUUGCCUCAGGGAUGAUGCAGGCUCUGCUGAAGAAUGUCACAUGCUUCCACCCCUAAAUGCUGGAAAUGGCAGGUCUAAGGCACAUAAGUGGCACAGUGUCGGGAAGCUGGUGCCAACACAAACACUGGGAAAUAUAUAAAAUUUUGCUCUUUCACGCCAGUCAAUCCAUGAGUAAAAACUAUCUAAGAGUUCAAUCAAGAGUUUACUCCAGCCCAAAGCAAGGAAGGAGCCAGGGCAGGAAUUGUGGAGGAGGAAGCCAGGGAAGGAAUUCUCUGUGGGGAAGUAAUCUGCUACUGGCAGCACAACUGUUUAGCCAUAAAUGGGUGAAAAAACUAUUCAAGCUUGCCUCACCAAUCCAUUGCUUUGAAUUUUUAAUGAUGACAGCUAAAUAAUAAAAGCUCCCUAAAAGGUAACAAAUACACAGUAACAUUCUGGUGGAUUCUCUGCACUCUGCUAUGGAAACAAACAUCUGUGAAAGAUUAUUUUCUUUAAUGUCACCUGAUGAAGAUGACCUUUAAAAUAACCACAAAAGCAAAGCUUUAACCACCUGCUGAGAAAUAAAAGGCAGAUAUUUACAUUGCAAGUGUCUUAACUACAGCAGGAAAAUGCAAAGAUAUCUAAAGCAUUUUUACUUUCUAAGUUAUGUUAAGGUAAGAAAAUGUAUGCUAGUCACUUAUUUAAAAUU
This is a long non-coding RNA of Mauremys mutica (yellowpond turtle), 1131 nucleotides long. RefSeq lists it as uncharacterized. The record is from RefSeq and is a predicted model, not a curated record. Lineage: Eukaryota; Metazoa; Chordata; Testudines; Geoemydidae. The transcript has 5 exons.